RNAcentral lists this ribosomal RNA (604 nucleotides) under uncultured bacterium. Its description in RNAcentral is "bacterial SSU rRNA". It matches the Rfam family "Bacterial small subunit ribosomal RNA", at positions 8 to 620 of the family's 1533-position model. The record is from RNAcentral.
AGAGUUUGAUCCUGGCUCAGGAUGAACGCUAGCGGCAGGCCUAAUACAUGCAAGUCGAACGGUGAUAGCAAUAUCAUAGUGGCGCACGGGUGCGUAACACGUAUGCAACCUACCUUAUACUGAGGGAUAGCCUUUCGAAAGGGAGAUUAAUACCUCAUAACACAUUGAACUGGCAUCAGUUUAUUGUUAAAGAUUUAUUGGUAUAAGAUGGGCAUGCGUCCAAUUAGUUAGUUGGCGAGGUAACGGCUCACCAAGACGAUGAUUGGUAGGGGAACUGAGAGGUUAAUCCCCCACACUGGCACUGAGAUACGGGCCAGACUCCUACGGGAGGCAGCAGUAGGGAAUAUUGGGCAAUGGAGGCAACUCUGACCCAGCCAUGCCGCGUGCAGGAAGAAGGCGUUAUGCGUUGUAAACUGCUUUUAUAUAGGAAGAAAUAGACCUUGCGAGGUAAGUUGACGGUACUAUAAGAAUAAGCACCGGCUAACUCCGUGCCAGCAGCCGCGGUAAUACGGAGGGUGCAAGCGUUGUCCGGAUUUAUUGGGUUUAAAGGGUGCGUAGGCGGUUUAUUAAGUCAGUGGUGAAAGACGGCCGCUCAACGAUUGCA